UGGGGGGAAGAGAGUGAAUGAGGCUGCUGCAAUGCAAGGCCCGACAUCCCUGAGCCUCAGGGCUGCUUUGGUGUCUGCAGGGAGAGCAUCGCCAUCCCGCAGUGCGUUGGGUUGGUGCGUGGCACAAAGGCCCGUGGGUUCACUUUGGGGUGGCUCCUUUGGAGCUUUGGCUCCUCCACAAGAAGUGGGGAUAUUUUUCAGGACCCAACACGCGUGCGUUUUAAAAGAGAUUUUUGAUAGAAGUCCCAUUUACUCCUUUAUUUGGCUUGGGAGGCUGCAGUGGAACAGAUUUCUUUACAUAUCCUUGAGUGUUAUUUGAUUAAGGUUAUGACUGCUAAUAAACACUCAGAGUCUAUCCCCCUUCCCCACCACUUGCAGCUCAGGACAGCUCUGUUCCCGGCGCACUGCCUGUAGCAAUGCAAGGGCUGAGGUGCUGAUUCUGCUCCCCUUCCAUCAGCACAUCGGUGUGCUGCUCACUUUGGGGAAAAUCACUCUGAUUUAUUCCAGCUUUAUAAAGUAAGAGAAACUAGAAAUGGGAGGAGCGCCAGGAGUGGUUCUGGCACGAUAACCAGUUUACUUCCCUUUCCUUCCCUGUGCCAUUUACAAUCACAAGUUCUUCUAUCAAACAGCUACGAGCAGAGCAGACGUUGCCCAGGAGUCAGAAGAACUGAGGCUGCAGGAUGGAACUGACAUAAACAAAACCCUGUUUAGGAGGUUCCUUCUGUAGUGGCCAGAUCAUCUUGAGGCAGCAAGGACCUGGGAUGCUGUUUGCUUGGGUAAGGCUCACUGACUUCUGCUGCUCAGGAAAUACCCCCAAACCCACCUGUGUACGCUCACCCCACCCCUCACCCUCCCACCCCAAGGCUCUGGGUUGAUGCUUGCACAUUCCUGCACAAGGACCACCAGCAGGAGAGGGAUUUGCUGCAGGCUGUGGCAGGUGAGAGCCUUUUCACAACUGGAAGGGAUCGCUGAGCCCAGCUCCUUUUGUUGCUGCCUGCUUGUUCCCUGGCAUCACCCAGUGCAUCUUCUGCCUUUGCUCUGCAGAGCUGCAUGCAGUUCUGACAUCAGGAAGAGUAAAUUUCAUGAGCAACCCAUAUUUUGGGGCUUUUCUGGUGGACAGAAGGAAGCAAGCACACCCCGUACACUCAGUUGGUUAUGAAUGACAUAACCUGGGCAGGUUCCCAUGCGGCUGUUCCACACAGUGGGCAGGCUAUGGGAGAAAGCAGGCUGUGUAUGUGAAAAAAAACAAUAAAUGUCACUCUGUGACAUUAUUUUAGCUGGAAAAUGCUCCCCAGCUCACCCCAGCACACCACUCAUCCCAUACAUCUCACAGUGCUUGGGGAAAAGGGCGGCUGCCCUUUGCCAUGCAGGAAUCCCAGCAUGAAAUGAUGUCUGUGGCACUGCUGGGUCCAUGCCAAGGGCUGAGGUAUCCCCGUCUGCCUCGGCUCUUGUGCUUCCUUUGUUGAUGGUUCUGCAAAUCGAUGCUUUUGUCCCCAACACCACCCGGCUGUCCCUUGGCCGGGGCAGGACAAGGGGCCAUUCUUCAUGGAGAACAGUUGGGGAUCUCAUGGCAGGGUGGUUGGCCUCCAGCCAUCGCCUCCCACCGCCCUCCACACCUCGGUCACAGCUGGGCCAUGCCAUCCAUUGGGACCCAUGCCAUCUGUGGCAGGGGACAGGAGCAGCCAGCAGCAGCCAGGGGUGGCCCUGUGUUCACAGAGCAUCGCUGGAGCACAUCCGACAGAAGGGCUCGGAUGAGAGGGGCAUGGAGAUCUGAAGGUGUUCUCUUAAAAUGGGUUCGUUUGCACAUUUCUAGGAGGGGUGAGGGGCUGCAGAGUGCUGUGUGAUGCUCGGUGCUCUGAGCUGCUGGCUCACUGCCGACAGCACAAAUGCAACAAAUAAAUGGCUCCCCCAUCUCCUGCAAACCCAGGAGCAGCCCAAAGAGUGAGGAUUAAGGCCCCCAGUGCUCCCAGCUCCGUUUCCAGCACCUCACCUCGUGCCUCGGUGCCUCUCCGCAAGCUCUGAGCCAGGCAGGCACUUGGAGCAGGAGCUGUUUGCUUUGGCUCACAGCAGGCUUUGUGCAGUCGCCGGCCAGCUUUCCACAGCCCACCCUAUGGACAUCCCUCCCUGAGCACCUACCUGGGCCGCCGGCACCACUGCAUAUUUUGGCUGUGCUGUGCUUUUCCUGUGCCCGACCUCCCCCUGAAGAUGUCAGCUGGGGGGGCUGUGAGGAUCUGCCACCCCCUGCCCAUCUCUUUGUGAGCCAUCAUUUCCAGCCCUGGAAUAUUCCCUGCAUCUUUUUGCAUCAUUCCCUGUGGGAGUGUGGUGUAGCUCAGGAUGCGGGCGGCUGUGUGAGCAAGGAUGCUCAAUGUGGAAAGAAAGGGGAAAAUAAGUCACAGCUGUGACUUUUAGCCCUUUGCAGUCCUCAAUGCUCAAAAUAAUGCAGGAUCUGAGAGAGGGCAGGGGCACGACUCGGUGCUGCUCACCUUCCCCAAGCACAAUGCUUUCAGAAUCCUGAAUAGAUGUUUUCAUCACAUCGAAACCUGCCUGCAAAAUGCUGUCUGGCAGAACUCUAUUCAGCUGGAAAAACACCGGCUCGCUCUUGCUUUGAGUUAUCUCUACGGACCUCAUACAAAGUCUCAUUUAUUUGCUCCCUUUUCGGAUGGCCUCCACUUCUCCAUCUCCAGGCGUUCACAAAUCACGAUUUGCAUCUCCAGCAUCAGCGCUCAGCAAGAACUCUCUAUUUCAUUUUGCUUCUGUUGCUGCUGUUUCUUCUGCCUUUUGAUUCCCUCUUGGACGUCUUUGAGCUUUUUGCUGACUCUAAGAGCUAGAAAAAUGUUUUUUUCUUUAGUGCUUCAGAUGCUAAUGAAAUUUUUCAGCCCCAGCACAUGAAAUCAAGCAAGCAUUUGGUGUCUGUCAGCUCCCAGUGAACUUAUCUGCACUGCAGUAGGGCUGGCUAUGUUUAGGGCUAUAACACAACAGCACAAAGUCAUUGUUAUCCUAGGACCAUGCUGUGCUAUUUCUAUCCUGCUACCUGGAGGGAGCAGGGACACUUUUGGCCACUCCAACUCAGUAUUUUCCUGGGGGAAAUCUGAGUGCAAACAAAGUAAGUCGGUACAUCUAUCUAGGGACAUCUGGGGAGGUUCAUUUUUUGCCGAGUGCAGAAUGCUUUGACAGCUUCGUUCAGUUCUCACUUAGGUGAAAUCUCUGCUAAAAGAGCAGUGCUGCACUGCACAGCUGCCCAGGGAGUGGGGGGUCAGUGUCCCUGGGGAUGCUCUGUAACCAUGGGGAUGUGGCACUGAGGAACGUGGGCAUGGUGGGAUGGUUGGGGUUGGCUUCAGUGAUCUUGGAGGCCUUUUCCAACCUUUCUGAUUCUAUGAUUCUGUACUCCAUGUGCUGCAAACCGGGCCUUGGGCUGCUUUGGGAUGGGGCUGUCUCCAUCAGUGCUGGGCACAGAUUGGCUGCGUGGGGGCUGUUUGAAUGGAAAACCUUCCCUAGAAAACCCCUCGUGGCUGCAACUCCUCCUUACACCUCUUUCAGAGCCUCAUAUAGCUCCAAUCUGCUCCUAAUGAAAGCAAGCCAAACCCUGCUUGCUUCCUACCACCCACAGGCAGUCAGUCCACCAGGCCCAAUUCUGGCAAACUGGGCAAGGUUAAACCUACCCUUAGUGCUACCGGCCCCUAUAAAGAGUCUGACAACAAACCACCCCAAAAGCAUGAAGGACAUCUGUCCUUCCCCAGCAUCUCCCCCGUUCUGGUGCUCCCUGGCACCAAAAGAUGGAGGUGGCCAAGGAAGGCCACAAAGUUACUUCAUUCCUAAAUCAUUUUCCCUCCUUUGCCUUCGUUAAACUGCAGUGCACCCUUCCGUGCGAGGAAAUGGAUCCACGUUCCUCUUUUACUGCUCACAACUAUUUGGUGAUUAAGAAAACGGGGGAGCUGGGGGCACUCAUUCUUGACCUCGGGGAAGGCAGGAGGCUUAUAAAAGCUCUAAGUGCUGCAGAAAUUACGAGGCAAUUAAAAAUCAGGGCCAGAGCUGGGCCCGGGACAAUAAAAAUGAGAGGAACUGAUGUCAGCCCCGUGCAGGGCGUGGGGACCCACAACCUGUUCAGCCCCAACUGGAAAUGCAGGAGCAUUUGUCUCGGAGUUUACCAAAGCUGAGCUUGGGUUUUUUGAGCUUCUAAGAGCCAAUGAACCCAAAAGUCAAAUGGAGAUGUCAGUGCAGAUUAGUAGGGUGCAUUUUCUAAUUGCAGCUCUCGUUUCUUUUGGAGCUGGGUGUUUCCAAGAGCAGGAACUGAUGUCCUCAGGUGAGGCUGUGUCAGACCCAGGGGGGUGGUGGAGCCCCCAUCCCUGCAGGGGUUCAAUAAGAGGAUGGAUGUGGUACUGAGAGGCGUGGGCAGUGGGCAUGGCAGGGAUGAGUUGAUGGUUGGAGAUGAACCCAGUGGUCUUUUCCAACCUUAAUGAUCCUGUUCUCUUCUAUAACCAGUGGUUGGGUUUUUCCUUCAGGUGUCAAUGACUUCUUGUGCAAACUUCUCGUGUUCAAGUGUGUGGUGGCAGGGAGCGAAUGCUGCUCUCUGCAUCCUCUUAGGAAAGUCCCAGAAAGUGUCACCUGGCUCUUAGGCCACGCUGAGAACAUUUGCCCACGUCCUCUGAUCAGCUGUAAAACAGGAAAAGACCAAAAAAGGAGAGUUUUUCAGUCUGCAUUCACUAAGCUCUCACCCAGCAGGUUUGCUCAAGUUUGGUCAUGUGUUUGCCUGUCUGCACUGGAGUGCUGGCAGGAUGAGAGCAAUGUGGGUCUGUUUCCUUGGCACUGAAAGGGCCCAGAACAGAACCCAGCUCUGGCCCAAAUGUCCCAAAAGGGUCCUGGCCACUGUGAGCAGCUCCAGUUGGAAGCAAACUCCCCAAACCAGGUGGGUGAAGCCGAGAACAGGCACAGCUCAUUGCACAUAAAUGAUGGCGUUCUCACAUCCUCCCCCAGCAUCCACUGCACUGAUCAGUUCUGCACAUUUCUGCAGUGAGUGCUGGCAUUUCCCCAACCACAUCCACAGCAGCACAGACCAGGAAUCCCAUUUCUCCAUGCAGAUCUCAGCGGGAUAAACGCCGACCACAGAGACAUUUUGCAAUGCCUUGCAGCAUUUCAAAACGUGCUGUGUGUGUCACAGUGGGGUGGAAAUAUUUCCGUGGCAGAACUGCAUUGCAGCAUCUGCAUUCAAGGGAAGAGGGCUGGGGCUGCCUGGGGGCAUGCUGUGUGUCAGUGCAGCACAGCUGGCUGGAAGUUUGGUGAAGCACUGCAUUUUGGGGGGUGUUGGUGCUCAGUGGGACAGCUGUGCCAUGGCAGGGCUGGGAGCUGAGCCUCAGUUCCUGACUGCCAUUCGUUGUUGUUUCUCUUUAUCAUGCACUCAUGUGCAGGGGAUGCUGGCACAGACAGCCUUGGCUGCAGCAUGGAGACAUGGCAGUGCUUGCACCAGCAAAACCCAAACAUGCAAGUGGGAACCACAGGCAGCCCACACCCACGUGGGACCUCAGGGGCCCUUUUUGGUGUUGAAGCACUCUGCAAUAUGGUGGCCCCAAUGCACGGCCCCUCCACUGCCAGCCCCUCGCCCCAGGCUCUUGCAGCUCUGUUUUUAUGGGCAGCUCGUUAGCUUCCCUGCUCACUCAGUUUAUGUUUGCUGGCUCUCGCUGGCGUUUCCCUCCCUGUAAAACAAGAAUGCACAAACACGGGGAGAGGGGUCCCAGCAAGGAGGGUGCAUGUGGGAAGCAGUGGGUCUGGGUUACCCUUAGGGUUGGGAGAGAGGAGGACAGAGGGAUUUACCCGAUGCCCUCACUGCCUUUAGCCCUUCCCACUCACCAGAUACUCUGCUUCUCUCCUGUUUCAAAGGCAGCAUUAAAAUCCCAGGCCCUGCUGAGAGUGGUGUGGCUGAAGGUAUGAAAUCCAGCCUCGCUGCUUUGUUUCCUGAAUGAUAUUCAUCCCAGCUCAUGCUAUCAGAUUGGCUUUUUUUUUUUUUUCUUUUAGAUUUUAUGAAUGAGUGUAAUCCUUCAGCAGGAAGGGAGGUGUCAGCUCAGAUGCUUUGGUCCUCAUGUUUUGGUGGUCAUUAAUAACGCCUGCAGUGCUUUCUGGAAGUGUGAGCCAAAGGCUUGGGAUGUAACAGCUUCCUAGUGGAAAAAGUGAGUUUCUUCCAAAUCAAAAGGUCUCACAAAAACAACACCUGGUUUCUGAUAUCUUCUUUUCACUUCAUUUCAAAUGCUUUGCUCUGCUCUCGUAAAAAAAAAAAAAGAAAUGUGAGUGUAAAGUAUUAUUGUACAUCAUUUGCCUUUGCCUUGUUUGAGGUGCGAUUUUAUAUUCAGAUCCGUAUUUGUAGUAGAGAUGCCUGCUUUUAACAAGUCAUUAGACACCAAAGGGAAAUAUUUGUGCCUGGUUAGCAGGGAGCAACGGCUCGCUGCCCAGAUGGAGCAUCCAAUGACACGCUGCCCAAAUGGAGCACCACGGCUAUUUGUAGCUGAAAGGGAGGAUGCAUUAAGUCUUGCUGGAGCCAGGCUGUGCCCAAACCAGGGGAACACCCCCAGAGGUGUGCCUCACCCCCUGGAUGCCCCGUCCUGGGAAAUGCAGGGGAUGGGGUACCCGAGCAGGGCUGUGUCCUCAGAUCCACGUUCUGCACUGUGCACACGGGAGCGAUGCUCCCACCCGUGGAUUCAUUGCAGCUGCGUGCCUCCACCUUGUGAUGGAUCCCAGAUGAUUUCUCAGCCAGAGCAGUGCAGCCACUCGUGUUAGAUUAUAAACUGGAACUUUUACAGGCUGUAUGUGGGGUUUGUGGCUUCCUUUCUCUCUCUCUGUCUCCGAAGUCCGUGUUUCUUAAUAAAUCAUCCUCUAGCCCAAGCUGAGUCUUGCUGUUUUAAGUUUAACUAGCUUAUUUUUUUGCUGAUAAGCUGGACUUUGAAUUCUUCUCAAGAUCACAGGUCGGGGCUGGUAAUGUCAUGAAGGAGAGACUGUUAGCUGUGAUAUAUCACAUGCCAAUGAGGACGGCACGGACAGCUUGCUGCGAGCAGCUCGUUUCCCCUGUAUCAGCAUUUACAGGCAGAGCACUUGUAUCUUGCAGAGGUGGUGGGAGGGAAGUCAGGUCUCCCACCAAAUAUAAAUUAUGUCUAUUGUUGGAGCCAACUCAACAGAGUCACAGAGCAGAGCUCUAAGGUAUGUGCAAAGGGUAAGGGAAAAACGGGCACCAGUGGCAAGGAGAUGUUCUGGUAUGUGCCCAUUUCUUACACUGUAUUGGUGCAAAGGAUUUUGUUAAGGCUUUGAUCCUGACUUCACUCCUGAUUUCUUCUUUUGAACCAUCUUCAGUCCAAAGAAACCCAAAUCCACCCAAGUUUGGGGCUGAAGGGUGGGGUGUAGCAAAGCUGCAGUGAAGUAUAUCUGCUACACCCUCUUGCUCUCUUUUAUUCUUCUUUGCCACCACCCUGACAGCAAAUAAAUUUCUGUUCUUGACAGCUCCAAGCAAACACAUUACAUUCUCAGAUCCAUCAUGCUCUGAUCCUUGUUCUCAUAGCCAGUGACCAAGCUCCUUUCCCAGUAUUGCCAUUGACUUUGGCCAAUUGCUCCCAUGGCCAUGCUGCUAUAUGGACAUGUCUGCUCAGCACUCCUUCUUGGAGUCCACAGCAACUCCCAUCACGUCCCAUAGAGACUAUAGUCCCAAAAUCACAUUCCUGUUGGGUUAGUCCUCCAGAGGCCAGCGGAGGGCAUAGCACAGUUCAUCCUUAUCAGAGGAGCUUUUAUCUGGCUCCUGCUCCUUUGCAAUAACGGGGGGAGCUGAUCUGGGGCUCCCUGCAGUGAGAGCAUCUUACUCAGUGCCCCACUGCUCCAGAGACAGUUCCCUGUGCUGCAGGGAUCAGACAGAUUGUCGCGUCGGAAAAUUUUUGCUGCUUGCCCAGCUGGGGUCUGGAGAUCAGCCAGGGUCCCUCCGUGGGAAGACAAGAUGUGGAGACACGGUGCGGAUGCACUCGGAGCUUUGCUCUCUUCAUGGGAAUCUGUUUCACUUCUCCUUUUCUGUUGUAUUUUUUUUUUUUUUUUUUCCUUUUGGAGGCUAUUUUGAUUCGAAAAGAUUCUGGUUUUUCUGGUCUACGGUUCAGUUUUGUUUGUCUAUAGGCUGCGUGCCAAUGGCGUCUGCCCUGUCCCGGCUGCCUUAGUCAUACAGUCACACAAUCAUUCAGGUUGGAAAAGACCUCUCAGAUCAUUGAGUCCAACCCCACCGUGCCCACUGCCCACAUC
Molecule: non-coding RNA, 8253 nt
Organism: Phasianus colchicus (ring-necked pheasant)
Lineage: Eukaryota; Metazoa; Chordata; Aves; Galliformes; Phasianidae
Source: RefSeq, a predicted model, not a curated record